RNAcentral lists this ribosomal RNA (240 nucleotides) under uncultured bacterium. RNAcentral describes it as "partial 16S ribosomal RNA". It matches the Rfam family "Bacterial small subunit ribosomal RNA", at positions 537 to 776 of the family's 1533-position model. The record is from RNAcentral.
AGCGUUGUUCGGAAUUAUUGGGCGUAAAGGGCUCGUAGGCGGCCAACUAAGUCGGAUGUGAAAUCCCCAGGCUUAACCUGGGAACUGCAUCCGAUACUGGAUGGCUUGAAUUCGGGAGAGGGAUGCAGAAUUCCAGGUGUAGCGGUGAAAUGCGUAGAUAUCUGGAGGAAUACCGGUGGCGAAGGCGGCAUCCUGGACCGAAAUUGACGCUGAUGGGCGAAAGCUAGGGGAGCAAACGGG